ACUUUUGCUGUUUCGCCUUCUUGGAGACCUUGAAUGGAGUCCUGUGUGGGGCUCCAGUGGGGAACUCUAUAGUUCUGCUGGGGGACUUCAACGCACACAUGGGCAAU
Long non-coding RNA from Etheostoma cragini (Arkansas darter), 107 nucleotides. RefSeq lists it as uncharacterized. Lineage: Eukaryota; Metazoa; Chordata; Actinopteri; Perciformes; Percidae. The record is from RefSeq and is a predicted model, not a curated record. The transcript is spliced from 3 exons.